This 265-nucleotide long non-coding RNA is filed under the name Populus tremula. RNAcentral's name for it is "long non-coding RNA (PTRE_LNC002790)". Lineage: Eukaryota; Viridiplantae; Streptophyta; Magnoliopsida; Malpighiales; Salicaceae. The record is from RNAcentral.
UUUUGUUUUCUUUUGACACAGUGAGGCUAGAUUUAAAGGCAGUGAGUGGAAGAGAAGGGUUCGACAACAAGAGAGGGUGGGUGGCAUUUAAUGUUAGCUGAAAAACCUCCAAAGUUAUGUUAAAAUCUGAAAAACCAUUCAUUUUUUGCCUCCAUUUUCGAAUCAUUUUUUGCUGUUCUAAAAUAAUUUUUGUGUCUGUAAUGCUGAGGUUGAGUUUGGAGAUCAUUUUGACAGUACUGACAUGCAAUGCCUCUAGAAUCACAUG